RNAcentral lists this ribosomal RNA (661 nucleotides) under uncultured Bacteroidota bacterium. RNAcentral describes it as "bacterial SSU rRNA". It matches the Rfam family "Bacterial small subunit ribosomal RNA", at positions 32 to 671 of the family's 1533-position model. Lineage: Bacteria; Pseudomonadati; Bacteroidota. The record is from RNAcentral.
AACGCUACGACAGGCUACACAUCGCAAGUCUAGGGGCAGCAUAGUAAAGCUUGCUUUUAUUGAUGGCGACCGGCGCACGGGUGAGUAACGCGUAUGCAACCUGCCUUACACAGGCGGGAUAGCCCGGAGAAAUCCGGAUUAAUACCGCAUAAUGAUCAAAUUUCGCAUGUUAUUUGAUUUAAAGCUUCGGCGGUGUAAGAUGGGCAUGCGUAGCAUUAGCUUGUUGGUGAGGUAACGGCUCACCAAGGCGAUGAUGCUUAGGGGGUCUGAGAGGAUAGUCCCCCACACUGGUACUGAGACACGGACCAGACUCCUACGGGAGGCAGCAGUGAGGAAUAUUGGUCAAUGGGCGCAAGCCUGAACCAGCCAUGUCGCGUGCAGGAUGACUGCCCUAUGGGUUGUAAACUGCUUUUUUACGGGAAUAAACCUUCCUACGUGUAGGGAGCUGAAGGUACCGUAUGAAUAAGGAUCGGCUAACUCCGUGCCAGCAGCCGCGGUAAUACGGAGGAUUCGAGCGUUAUCCGGAUUCAUUGGGUUUAAAGGGUCCGUAGGCGGGCGAUUAAGUCAGUGGUUGAAACUCUACACAGACUCAACUUGUGAAAAACUGGCCAUUGAAUACUGGGUUGUCUUGCAAUUUCACUUGACGUGGGGCGGAAAUACG